RNAcentral lists this ribosomal RNA (1315 nucleotides) under uncultured bacterium. RNAcentral describes it as "partial 16S ribosomal RNA". It matches the Rfam family "Bacterial small subunit ribosomal RNA", at positions 104 to 1399 of the family's 1533-position model. The record is from RNAcentral.
GGGUGAGUAACACGUGGGCAACCUGCCCAAAAGAAGGGGGAUAACACUUGGAAACAGGUGCUAAUACCGCAUAGCCAUAGUUACCGCAUGGUAACUAUGUAAAAGGUGGCUAUGCUACCGCUUUUGGAUGGGCCCGCGGCGCAUUAGCUAGUUGGUGAGGUAAAGGCUUACCAAGGCAAUGAUGCGUAGCCGAACUGAGAGGUUGAUCGGCCACAUUGGGACUGAGACACGGCCCAAACUCCUACGGGAGGCAGCAGUAGGGAAUCUUCCACAAUGGGCGAAAGCCUGAUGGAGCAACGCCGCGUGGGUGAAGAAGGUCUUCGGAUCGUAAAACCCUGUUGUUAGAGAAGAAAGUGCGUGAGAGUAACUGUUCACGUUUCGACGGUAUCUAACCAGAAAGCCACGGCUAACUACGUGCCAGCAGCCGCGGUAAUACGUAGGUGGCAAGCGUUAUCCGGAUUUAUUGGGCGUAAAGGGAACGCAGGCGGUCUUUUAAGUCUGAUGUGAAAGCCUUCGGCUUAACCGGAGUAGUGCAUUGGAAACUGGGAGACUUGAGUGCAGAAGAGGAGAGUGGAACUCCAUGUGUAGCGGUGAAAUGCGUAGAUAUAUGGAAGAACACCAGUGGCGAAAGCGGCUCUCUGGUCUGUAACUGACGCUGAGGUUCGAAAGCGUGGGUAGCAAACAGGAUUAGAUACCCUGGUAGUCCACGCCGUAAACGAUGGAUUUUUGGUGUUAUUAGUUUGGAUGCUUAGUAGUCCCGGAUUAAACACAAUAAGUAUCCCGCCUGGGGGAGUACGGGUCGCAAGACUGAAAUUCAAAGGAAUUGACGGGGGCCCGCACAAGCGGUGGAGCAUGUGGUUUAAUUUGACGCAAACGCGAAGAACCUUACCAAGACUUGACAUCCUCCUGACAAGAUAUGUAAUGUAUCUCUUUUCUUCGGAGACAGGAGAGACAGGUGGUGCAUGGUUGUCGUCAGCUCGUGUCGUGAGAUGUUGGGUUAAGUCCCGCAACGAGCGCAACCCUUAUUUCUAGUUGCCAGCAGUAAGAUGGGGACUCUAGAGAGACUGCCAGUGACAAACUGGAGGAAGGUGGGGAUGACGUCAAAUCAUCAUGCCCCUUAUGUCUUGGGCUACACACGUGCUACAAUGGUCAGAACAGAGGGAAGCGAAGCCGCGAGGUGGAGCAAAUCCCAGAAAACUGAUCUCAGUUCGGAUUGCAGGCUGCAACCCGCCUGCAUGAAGUCGGAAUCGCUAGUAAUCGCGGGUCAGCAUACCGCGGUGAAUACGUUCCCGGGCCUUGUACACACCGCCCGUCA